UUGGUGGAGCGUGAUGGUCGCGGCCCAUCGCAGGAUGGGUCGAGGAAAGUCCGAGCUCCGCAGGGCAGAUUGCCAGGUAACGCCUGGGCGUCGAAAGGCGACGGACAGGGCCACAGAAAACAAACCGCCCGAAAGGGUAAGGGUGAAAUGGUGGGGUAAGAGCCCACCGCGCGGCUGGCAACAGACGUGGCAGGGUAACCCCCAAUUGGAGCAAGGCCAAAUAGGCGGUGACGGUUCGGCCCGGACCACUUGAACCGCGGGUAGGCCGCUCGAGGCGGCAGGCGACUGUCGUCCCAGAUAGAUGACCAUCCGCCCGCUCACGCGUGCGAACAGAACUCGGCUUACGGCUCCGCCAGCUCU
This 360-nucleotide RNase P RNA is filed under the name Gemmatimonadota bacterium. Its description in RNAcentral is "Gemmatimonadetes bacterium RNase P RNA component class A". It matches the Rfam family "Bacterial RNase P class A". From Rfam's summary of the family: Ribonuclease P (RNase P) is a ubiquitous endoribonuclease, found in archaea, bacteria and eukarya as well as chloroplasts and mitochondria. The record is from RNAcentral. Lineage: Bacteria; Pseudomonadati; Gemmatimonadota.